GACGAACGCUGGCGGCGUGCUUAACACAUGCAAGUCGAACGGAAAGGCCCUGCUUUUGUGGGGUGCUCGAGUGGCGAACGGGUGAGUAACACGUGAGUAACCUGCCCUUGACUUUGGGAUAACUUCAGGAAACUGGGGCUAAUACCGGAUAGGAGCUCCUGCUGCAUGGUGGGGGUUGGAAAGUUUCGGCGGUUGGGGAUGGACUCGCGGCUUAUCAGCUUGUUGGUGGGGUAGUGGUUUACCAAGGCUUUGACGGGUAGCCGGCCUGAGAGGGGGACCGGCCACAUUGGGACUGAGAGACGGCCCAGACUCCUACGGGAGGCAGCAGUGGGGAAUAUUGCACAAUGGGCGGAAGCCUGAUGCAGCAACGCCGCGUGCGGGAUGACGGCCUUCGGGUUGUAAACCGCUUUCGACUGUGACGAAGCGUGAGUGACGGUAAUGGGUAAAGAAGCACCGGCUAACUACGUG
RNAcentral lists this ribosomal RNA (468 nucleotides) under uncultured bacterium. RNAcentral's name for it is "partial 16S ribosomal RNA". It matches the Rfam family "Bacterial small subunit ribosomal RNA", at positions 28 to 507 of the family's 1533-position model. The record is from RNAcentral.